Molecule: unclassified non-coding RNA, 323 nt
Filed under: soil metagenome
Description: partial contains 5.8S ribosomal RNA, internal transcribed spacer 2, and large subunit ribosomal RNA
Rfam family: 5.8S ribosomal RNA (bases 1-120)
Source: RNAcentral
GAUGAAGAACGUAGCGAAAUGCGAUACGUAGUGUGAAUUGCAGAAUUCCGUGAACCAUCGAAUCUUUGAACGCACAUUGCGCCCUGUGGUAUUCCGCAGGGCAUGCCUGUUCGAGCGUCAUUUCAACCCUCAAGCUCUGCUUGGUGUUGGGCCCUGCCCGCUGCGGCCGGCCCUAAAGACAGUGGCGGUGCCGCCUGGCCCUGAGCGUAGUACAUCUCUCGCUCCAGUGCCCGGUGGUAGCCUGCCAGAACCCCAACUCUCGUGGUUGACCUCGGAUCAGGUAGGGAUACCCGCUGAACUUAAGCAUAUCAAUAAGCGGAGGA